ACACCAAUGGUGAAGCGGUUAUCAUGCUUGCCUUCCACAUCGAGGUAGCAAGCGGCAGGGGUUCGACUCCCCUUUGGUGUA
Transfer RNA from Termitomyces sp. J132, 81 nucleotides. It matches the Rfam family "tRNA". From Rfam's summary of the family: Transfer RNA (tRNA) molecules are approximately 80 nucleotides in length. Their secondary structure includes four short double-helical elements and three loops (D, anti-codon, and T loops). Lineage: Eukaryota; Fungi; Basidiomycota; Agaricomycetes; Agaricales; Lyophyllaceae. The record is from Rfam.